RNAcentral lists this transfer RNA (71 nucleotides) under Loxodonta africana (African savanna elephant). It matches the Rfam family "tRNA". From Rfam's summary of the family: Transfer RNA (tRNA) molecules are approximately 80 nucleotides in length. Their secondary structure includes four short double-helical elements and three loops (D, anti-codon, and T loops). The record is from Rfam by way of RNAcentral. Lineage: Eukaryota; Metazoa; Chordata; Mammalia; Proboscidea; Elephantidae.
GCACUGGUCCUUCAGUGGUAGAAUUCUUGCUUUCCACGCAGAAGACCUGAGUUCAAUUCCAGGCCAAUGCA